UCACUACUUGCGUAGGCAGUCUGGCUAGAGUCCCCACCAUAACGUGCUGGUAACUAACCACAGGGGUUGCGCUCGUUGCGCCACUUAAGGCAACACCUCACGGCACGAGCUGACGACAGCCAUGCAGCACCUUCCCGGCUGCCCCGAAGGGAAGGCCCGUUUCGGGGCCGGUCAGCCGGGAUUUAGCCCGGGUAAGGUUCUUCGCGUUGCAUCGAAUUAAGCCACAUGCUCCACCGCUUGUGCGGGCCCCCGUCAAUUCCUUUGAGUUUCAUUCUUGCGAACGUACUCCCCAGGUGGUAUGCUUACUGCGUUAACUGCGUCACUGAACCCGAAGGCCCAACAACUAGCAUACAUCGUUUACAGCGUGGACUAC
This 373-nucleotide unclassified non-coding RNA is filed under the name uncultured Bacteroidota bacterium. Its description in RNAcentral is "uncultured Bacteroidetes bacterium contains 16S-23S intergenic spacer region". Lineage: Bacteria; Pseudomonadati; Bacteroidota. The record is from RNAcentral.